Long non-coding RNA from Juglans regia (Persian walnut), 730 nucleotides. RefSeq lists it as uncharacterized. The transcript is spliced from 2 exons. Lineage: Eukaryota; Viridiplantae; Streptophyta; Magnoliopsida; Fagales; Juglandaceae. The record is from RefSeq and is a predicted model, not a curated record.
AUCCUGUAUCAGUUGUUGCACCUGCAAACGAGAAUUCUCUUUAAUUUUACAUCAGAUAAUAUAUACCCAAAGUGGACGGAGGAGGGUUCGAAAGCCAGUCCGUUGCAUAUGGUGAGAGGAAGCGGGGAGGAUAAAAUUUGUUGAAUUUGUUCCAAAAAGGGACUUCUACAAUGCACUCAACCUUCAAGUUCGAGGUUCAUUCCUGUUGAAGAGCAUAAAGUAUUGAAGCUACUUUGAGGGUAGCAUUCUUUGGUUGGACAGAAGUACUUCAAAAGAUUCUCACGGCGGAUGAUUAGAGAAAGAGAUGGGUGAUAAUAAUGGAUUGAGUAAAAGCAUUGAUUACCUUCUUCACUGCGAGGUGGUUAGGGAGUUGUGGGCAUUGAUUUUUCAUAUUUCUGGGUUUGAGUCAGUCGUGCCCCAACAGGGGUGGUGGAGAUAUUAAUGUUUGUAGGAUGGUUCCUCUGUGCUUAAUGUGGUGCAUUUGGCAGGAGUGCAAUGCUAGAGCCAUUGAAGAUGGCAAGAGGACAGUGUAAGAGUUAAAAGCCAUAUUCUUAAAACCCUCCAUAGAUAGAUGGCUGCCACCAUUGAAGGUGGGUCUGUGUGCAUGUGAAUGCAGCAUCGAACAGAUUGGAAACAAAGGUUUUCAUAUUUUGCAGUAUUUCAUCCCUUUUUAAGGUCAUUUUCUUUGUAUUAUGCCAUUAGAAAUGCUCAUUUUGGACUUGUUUAUCCA